UUGCGCGCUGCUUUGCUUUGUGCCCAGCUUCUUUUGCCCAGAGGGCCCGGCUCCCAGCGCGGCGUUGGACUUUGGCGGACGUCGAGGUGCAGAAGCCGAGGGACGACGGGGCAAGAGCAAGCUGGAUGAGCGAGAGCUUCGAGGUCAAGAGUGGAACGGCGUGACAAGAGUGAGCUUGGAGCUGAAGAAGGAGCACGAGAGGCCCUCUGGGCAAAGGGCCUUGGUGGCACGGCCAGGGCACCUUCAAGGUGCCGCGGCUGACUUUGCUUGUGCUGGGCGACCUCCCUGCGUUGCGGGGCUGCGUCUUUGCUUUGGUUGGCCUUUUGCCGUUGUGCUCCUUUGGCUGCCUGGAGACAGGGGCAACCCUGUAAGCAGGGUGAAGAGUCCCUGUCUCCGCACCUGAGGGGGGAAACGGAGCUCCCCGAGCCCCCAGCCCGGCCGCCCUGUAAGCGGGGCAGGGCUUUUCCCCAGCUGUGGCAUCUUUGUUCCUGCUGCUGGUCCCUGCCGUCACAUUGCACCAUACAGUGUUUUCGGGGUUUAUUGUAUUCAAAUGAUCAUUGUGAUCACUGACAAUAAUUACAAUCUUUUGCCUGAGUCUUAGGGAGCCAAACUGAACUAACUACCGAUACGGGAAUGCUCUUGCCUGCCCAUUUAUCAUCAUCCUGACUAGUGGAUUAAAAAUUAUUUUGGUCACACCAGAGUAGUACUCAAAAUCAACACUGCCCUGAAUGUAAAGUGAGAGUGAACCAAUAACUAUGCUUAACUUUUUUCAUAAAUUUUAAUUUGCAACAUCUGCCUUGCCUGCUCUGUUUUCUUUGGGAAUGUUUUGAUAUUUGUUGUUUUUCUUUAAGGUCCUGGCACCUGAGGUCUAGGGAUUAGGUUUUGUUCUCUGCUGUCUUCUGAAAUAAAAGUAACUCUUUCAGUUUUUAAUAAAUGCUUCUAAAUGUUGCCUCUUCA
Oenanthe melanoleuca is the source of this 957-nucleotide long non-coding RNA. RefSeq lists it as uncharacterized. The transcript is spliced from 2 exons. Lineage: Eukaryota; Metazoa; Chordata; Aves; Passeriformes; Muscicapidae. The record is from RefSeq and is a predicted model, not a curated record.